Papaver somniferum (opium poppy) is the source of this 278-nucleotide long non-coding RNA. RefSeq lists it as uncharacterized. NCBI's taxonomy places the organism in Eukaryota, Viridiplantae, Streptophyta, Magnoliopsida, Ranunculales, Papaveraceae. The record is from RefSeq and is a predicted model, not a curated record. The transcript is spliced from 3 exons.
GGAUUUCAAUAAGAAAAGAUGAUGACCACAAGUAUGGAGAUCUUGUGAAAACGAAUUUAUGGUGCGUAUAUCCUAAUAAGUCAUGGCGGAGCAUGUUCUGGUACUUGUCCAUAGUCUUCGAGAGACAUUCUCACUGUAACGAAUUGUGAGUUUUUCUAUCAAGGAUCAGAGGCCAGAGGUAAGGAAUUUCGCAGCCCCAUCAACUAUAGUUGAAUUUGUUGCAGUAUUCGCUGGAAGCAACGAAAAAUUUAGGUGUAUCUAACAAAGUCUUACAAUCU